RNAcentral lists this transfer RNA (58 nucleotides) under Equus caballus (horse). RNAcentral's name for it is "partial transfer RNA-Thr". Lineage: Eukaryota; Metazoa; Chordata; Mammalia; Perissodactyla; Equidae. The record is from RNAcentral.
AGUCCUUGGGAGGAACGUUUUCCCCCUUUUCUGGUUUACAAGACCAAGGUAAUGUGCG